AGUAUCUAAAAUUAGUGUUUAAAAAUAAAUAAAUAGUGAUAAUUCAUAUGUGCACCUAUAAAAAUAUAGGGAUAUAUGAAAAGGGAAAGUAUUGAUUGAUCUGGGAUGCAUCAGGAACAACCCCGAAAGAGCAAAAAUUUAGUUUUAAUGACCCUGAUUGGAUUGGACCAGUAUAUAGAAAUUCUGGAAUAUACUUUGCAGUUUAAUCACGCAGAGGUCAAGUGCUGUUGGUAAGAUCGCCGCCUCAAUAUCUUUUUGGUUUAUGAUAGAAAUAUGACUGACAAGUUAGGUAACUUGCUCAGCCCUGAUAGAAAUAAUGAAACAGAAGAGAGCAAAUGCUGUAAACAGUUUGGCUCUGAAGCUCUGACUUUAAAAAUAUUCUCUGAAUUCAUUGAAAGAAUGGUCAGUCUGAGCUUUGAUUCUGAUUGGAAAGUUAAAACAAAAACUUGAUUGGCUUUAAACAAAGAAAGAACCAGAGAGAUAAAAAAGUCUAAAUGUAUGUGCCGAUUUGCUAAAAAUAAUCCCAGUAGUAAAUUAUUCCUACAUAAUUGUUGAAAGUCCUGACAAGGCAUAUUGAACAGAAUUCUGGGUUGGUGAAAA
Molecule: long non-coding RNA, 600 nt
Organism: Carassius carassius (crucian carp)
Lineage: Eukaryota; Metazoa; Chordata; Actinopteri; Cypriniformes; Cyprinidae
Exons: 2
Source: RefSeq, a predicted model, not a curated record